GAGGGUAUGUUCAGUGAUAGAGUGUGUGCUUAGCAUGCACGAGGUCCUGGGUUCAAUUCCCAGUGCCUCCA
RNAcentral lists this transfer RNA (71 nucleotides) under Camelus bactrianus (Bactrian camel). It matches the Rfam family "tRNA". Rfam says of the family: Transfer RNA (tRNA) molecules are approximately 80 nucleotides in length. The record is from Rfam by way of RNAcentral. RNAcentral also lists the same sequence under 2 other names. Lineage: Eukaryota; Metazoa; Chordata; Mammalia; Artiodactyla; Camelidae.